AUUUUUGAUCAACAGUCCACGUGUGUUGAUCCCUAGGAUCCCCAAAGAGGGGAUCCAAUGAGGAUCCAAAUCCUUGGUAAUUUCAUUAUCGCUGCAGUUAGCAGGAUCUCUGCGCUACUUGAAGAAUGCCCAUUGUUAUCUCAUAUGGCUUGGAUUGGAAUUGUACAUGAUAUAAUUGCAAUUGGGAUUUUACAGCUGUUAUAAUGGCACUGGGUGGGGUGUGGGGAUGAGGGGUAGCAAAAGACUGUUCUUCUUCCAUAGAGGGAAUUUUUCAGUCUUGAAAUGAAAUUUUGUGGGUGAAUGUUUGAUUGUUGAAAGCGUUUGGUACUUUACCACCUACACUCAAAUCCAUCAAAAUUCCACAUCGUUAAAAUCCUAACAAAUCUUUGAUAUUCUCACUAUACAUAGAAUGUGCGAAUUUUUUAAAAACUUAAUCGACUACUGACUAUACCAAGAUAUCAUGUGACAACCUGUCCCUAAUUUUACGUUUUUAUUAAUUUUAAAAGCGUGAAUUGACGAAAAUGCUUUAGAGGCAAGGACUUUGACUUCCGUUGACCAUCGUCUAGAGAAACGUAUGACUUAUUCUUUUGGCUUAUUUGCAUAGUACUCAAUGGUACAAACGCAUAGGCGAAAGCCGUUUGCGAGUCCGGAUUAUAACAGUAUAGUUACGGAUGUUUGAAAUUGGUUACUUACAUUUUAGAUUUUAAUUUAUUUGAACUCCCACCUUUUAGGAAAGAAGCCCAAUCAUUUUUAAGAAAAUAAUAAGGGACCAAUCAAAUUAAAGGGUAAGGACCAAUCAGAAAUCAAGAAGAAAAAAACAAAAAAGAAGGGGAGCUCCAGCCUUCCCGUCGGUCCGUACACCCGCGCACCACCCGACCCAAAUCCGACGAAUUUCCGCCAUUUUUCUCGUUGAUCACCACCAUCCAUCACAUGCAAAUCACUCAUGUGGCCUCCCAUCCACCAUCUCAGUCGAAAAACAGAGAGUUUUGGUUCCAAUUUCGUGAAGGCCGACGCACGGCUUCGUGGGUACUAGGCGGUGAUCCACCCAUUUCUGAAACACUUACUUUCACCAAAACACUUAUCUGGAGGUCAGGAACAAAGCCCAAACUAUUUUAAGGGUGAUGGUGUUGCAUAUUGAUUGAAUUGAAGAACACCCAAAUUCUAGGGUUUCGGCUGGUUCUUGGCGAUUUGAAGCUUUUCCUGGCCAAAUUGGACUUCUCCACAGGUAUAAAACUUGCUCUACUCAUUGAGAUCUUCAUUCCUGUGAAAUUUGAGAAGUUUUAGAAAUAGUGGAAUGUUCCGACGAGUCGGGGCGGCAGACCGCCACGUGCGGCGGCGUGUGGUGGUGGCGCAUGGGCCGAGACAUCCCUGACCUUCCUAGGCUAAACUUGAUACCCCAAUUCCAUAUGUGAUGUCUGAUUAACAAAAUUCAAUUAUUUGGGUACAAUUUCGCUAAGGUCCGCUACUUGGUCAUCAUAUGAAUUGACCAUCCGACCGUUGGAUCGUCAUCAAACUUUAAUAAGUUAUUAUUCGUAAUAUUUGAGGACCUUAGGAACUUACUGAUCAGGAAUCCGACAUAUGGAUCUUCUCGAAUUGGAUUUAUAAGUUUGUAAAAUAAAACGUUGACCUCCACUUGAAUUUGCAAUUGGCGGAGAUUCGACCGUUGGAUCUAGGAUGUUGUUCUAGAAGCAUAAUAUGAAUCUAUGAAAGUUACGGAUCAGAAGUCCGAGGAGCAGAUCUUUCGGAUUGAGCUACGUAGGGUUGUGGACCCUAUUGUCAACCAUUGACUGACGG
RNAcentral lists this long non-coding RNA (1794 nucleotides) under Malus domestica (apple). RNAcentral describes it as "long non-coding RNA (MDOM_LNC000017)". The record is from RNAcentral. Lineage: Eukaryota; Viridiplantae; Streptophyta; Magnoliopsida; Rosales; Rosaceae.